GGGAUUGCCUUAGUAACGGCGAGUGAAGCGGCAACAGCUCAAAUUUGAAAUCUGGCCCCUCCGGGGUCCGAGUUGUAAUUUGUAGAGAGUGCUUCGGGCGAGGCCUCGGUCUAAGUCCAUUGGAACAUGGUGUCAUAGAGGGUGAGAAUCCCGUAUGCGACCGUGGCUCGAGCCCAUGUGAAGCCUCUUCGACGAGUCGAGUUGUUUGGGAAUGCAGCUCAAAAUGGGUGGUAAAUUUCAUCUAAAGCUAAAUACUGGCUGGAGACCGAUAGCGCACAAGUAGAGUGAUCGAAAGAUGAAAAGCACUUUGGAAAGAGAGUCAAACAGUACGUGAAAUUGUUGAAAGGGAAGCGCUUGCAACCAGACCUGCCCGUAGGCGAUCAGCCGCUGUUUUCAGCGGUGUACUCGCUCUGCGAUCAGGCCAGCAUCGGUUUCGGCGGUCGGAUAAAGGCCUUGGGAAUGUAGCUUCCCUUCGGGGGAGUCUUAUAGCCCUCGGUGCAAUGCGGCCAGCCGGGACCGAGGACCGCGCUUCGGCUAGGAUGCUGGCGUAAUGGUUGUAAGCGACCCGUCUUGAAACACGGACCAAGGAGUCUAACAUCUAUGCGAGUGUUUGGGUGUCAAACCCAUGCGCGGAAUGAAAGUGAACGGAGGUGAGAACCCUUAAAGGGCGCAUCAUCGACCGAUCCAGAUGUCUUCGGAUGGAUUUGAGUAUGAGCAUAGCUGUUGGGACCCGAA
This 735-nucleotide ribosomal RNA is filed under the name Xanthoparmelia aff. subramigera. RNAcentral's name for it is "eukaryotic LSU rRNA". It matches the Rfam family "Eukaryotic large subunit ribosomal RNA", at positions 71 to 820 of the family's 3401-position model. Lineage: Eukaryota; Fungi; Ascomycota; Lecanoromycetes; Lecanorales; Parmeliaceae. The record is from RNAcentral.